UCAAUAUCUAGUUGGUCAGUCAA
This 23-nucleotide non-coding RNA is filed under the name Arabidopsis thaliana (thale cress). Lineage: Eukaryota; Viridiplantae; Streptophyta; Magnoliopsida; Brassicales; Brassicaceae. The record is from RNAcentral.